Molecule: non-coding RNA, 126 nt
Organism: Triticum aestivum (bread wheat)
Lineage: Eukaryota; Viridiplantae; Streptophyta; Magnoliopsida; Poales; Poaceae
Source: Rfam
UAUGUACUCCCUCCGUCCGAAAAAGCUUGUCCCAAACUUGUUUCUCAAAUGGAUGUAUCUAGCACUAACUUGAUCCUAGAUACAUUCAUUUGGGGGACAAGCUUUUCUGGACGGAGGGAGUACGUU